AGAGUUUGAUCCUGGCUCAGGAUGAACGCUAGCGGCAGGCUUAACACAUGCAAGUCGAGGGGUAUUUAUCUUCGGAUAGAGAGACCGGCGCACGGGUGCGUAACGCGUAUGCAAUCUACCUUUUACAGAGGGAUAGCCCAGAGAAAUUUGGAUUAAUACCUCAUAGUAUGCAGAGUUGGCAUCAACACUGCAUUAAAGUCACAACGGUAAAAGAUGAGCAUGCGUCCCAUUAGCUAGUUGGUAAGGUAACGGCUUACCAAGGCUACGAUGGGUAGGGGUCCUGAGAGGGAGAUCCCCCACACUGGUACUGAGACACGGACCAGACUCCUACGGGAGGCAGCAGUGAGGAAUAUUGGACAAUGGGCGCAAGCCUGAUCCAGCCAUGCCGCGUGCAGGAUGACGGUCCUAUGGAUUGUAAACUGCUUUUGCACAGGAAGAAACAACUCUACGUGUAGAGUCUUGACGGUACUGUGAGAAUAAGGAUCGGCUAACUCCGUGCCAGCAGCCGCGGUA
RNAcentral lists this ribosomal RNA (513 nucleotides) under uncultured Bacteroidota bacterium. Its description in RNAcentral is "bacterial SSU rRNA". It matches the Rfam family "Bacterial small subunit ribosomal RNA", at positions 8 to 522 of the family's 1533-position model. The record is from RNAcentral. Lineage: Bacteria; Pseudomonadati; Bacteroidota.